GACGAACGCUGGCGGCGUGCUUAACACAUGCAAGUCGAACGGAGAGGCCCUGCUUUUGCGGGGUGCUCGAGUGGCGAACGGGUGGGUAACACGUGAGUAACCUGCCCUUGACUUUGGGAUAACUUCAGGAAACUGGGGCUAAUACCGGAUAGGAGCUCCUGCUGCAUGGUGGGGGUUGGAAAGUUUCGGCGGUUGGGGAUGGACUCGCGGCUUAUCAGCUUGUUGGUGGGGUAGUGGCUUACCAAGGCUUUGACGGGUAGCCGGCCUGAGAGGGUGACCGGCCACAUUGGGACUGAGAUACGGCCCAGACUCCUACGGGAGGCAGCAGUGGGGAAUAUUGCACAAUGGGCGGAAGCCUGAUGCAGCAACGCCGCGUGCGGGAUGACGGCCUUCGGGUUGUAAACCGCUUUCGCCUGUGACGAAGCGUGAGUGACGGUAAUGGGUAAAGAAGCACCGGCUAACUACGUG
Molecule: ribosomal RNA, 468 nt
Filed under: uncultured bacterium
Lineage: Bacteria
Description: partial 16S ribosomal RNA
Rfam family: Bacterial small subunit ribosomal RNA
Source: RNAcentral